UGUGCCAGCAGCCGCGGUAAUACGUAGGUGGCAAGCGUUAUCCGGAAUUAUUGGGCGUAAAGCGCGCGUAGGCGGUUUUUUAAGUCUGAUGUGAAAGCCCACGGCUCAACCGUGGAGGGUCAUUGGAAACUGGAAAACUUGAGUGCAGAAGAGGAAAGUGGAAUUCCAUGUGUAGCGGUGAAAUGCGCAGAGAUAUGGAGGAACACCAGUGGCGAAGGCGACUUUCUGGUCUGUAACUGACGCUGAUGUGCGAAAGCGUGGGGAUCAAACAGGAUUAGAUACCCUGGUAGUCCACGCCGUAAACGAUGAGUGCUAAGUGUUAGGGGGUUUCCGCCCCUUAGUGCUGCAGCUAACGCAUAAGCACU
Molecule: ribosomal RNA, 365 nt
Filed under: uncultured bacterium
Lineage: Bacteria
Description: bacterial SSU rRNA
Rfam family: Bacterial small subunit ribosomal RNA
Source: RNAcentral